Molecule: non-coding RNA, 139 nt
Organism: Triticum urartu
Lineage: Eukaryota; Viridiplantae; Streptophyta; Magnoliopsida; Poales; Poaceae
Source: Rfam
CAGCUCGAUGAGGACGACAUCGUCAUCUACCUCCUCACCGGGCUCGACUCCAGCUAUGACCCCCUGGUCACCUCGGUCACCACUCGGGUUGAUGCGAUCUCCCUCAACGACCUCUACUCCCACAUGCUCGAUUUUGAGA